ACUUGGAGAUAGCUGGUUCUCUCCGAAAUAGCUUUAGGGCUAGCCUCAAGUGAUGAUUAUUGGAGGUAGAGCACUGUUUGGACGAGGGGCCCCUCUCGGGUUACCGAAUUCAGACAAACUCCGAAUGCCAAAUAAUUUAACUUGGGAGUCAGAAUGUGGGUGAUAAGGUCCAUAUUCGAAAGGGAAACAGCCCAGACCACCAGCUAAGGUCCCAAAAUAUAUGUUAAGUGGAAAAGGAUGUGGCGUUGCCCAGACAACUAGGAUGUUGGCUUAGAAGCAGCCAUCAUUUAAAGAGUGCGUAAUAGCUCACUAGUCGAGUGACACUGCGCCGAAAAUGUACCGGGGCUAAACAUAUUACCGAAGCUGUGGAUUGUCCUUUGGACAAUGGUAGGAGAGCGUUCUAAGGGCGUUGAAGCAUGAUCGCAAGGACAUGUGGAGCGCUUAGAAGUGAGAAUGCCGGUGUGAGUAGCGAAAGACGGGUGAGAAUCCCGUCCACCGAUUGACUAAGGUUUCCAGAGGAAGGCUCGUCCGCUCUGGGUUAGUCGGGUCCUAAGCUGAGGCCGACAGGCGUAGGCGAUGGAUAACAGGUUGAUAUUCCUGUACCACCAUUAUUCGUUUUAAGCGAUGGGGGGACGCAGUAGGAUAGGCGAAGCGUGCUGUUGGAGUGCACGUCCAAGCAGUGAGAUUGAGUGUUAGGCAAAUCCGGCACUCUUAAGAUUGAGCUGUGAUGGGGAGAGGAACUUGUUCCUCGAGUCGUUGAUUUCACACUGCCGAGAAAAGCCUCUAGCUAGAAUAACGGUGCCCGUACCGCAAACCGACACAGGUAGUCAAGAUGAGAAUUCUAAGGUGAGCGAGCGAACUCUCGUUAAGGAACUCGGCAAAAUGACCCCGUAACUUCGGGAGAAGGGGUGCUCUUUGAGGUUCACGCUUCGAAGAGCCGCAGUGAAUAGGCCCAAGCGACUGUUUAUCAAAAACACAGGUCUCUGCUAAACCGUAAGGUGACGUAUAGGGGCUGACGCCUGCCCGGUGCUGGAAGGUUAAGAGGAGUGGUUAGCGCAAGCGAAGCUACGAAUCGAAGCCCCAGUAAACGGCGGCCGUAACUAUAACGGUCCUAAGGUAGCGAAAUUCCUUGUCGGGUAAGUUCCGACCCGCACGAAAGGCGUAACGAUUUGGGCACUGUCUCAACGAGAGACUCGGUGAAAUCAUAGUACCGGUGAAGAUGCCGGUUACCCGCGACAGGACGGAAAGACCCCGUGGAGCUUUACUGUAGCCUGAUAUUGAAAUUCGGUACAGUUUGUACAGGAUAGGUAGGAGCCUUAGAAGCGUGAGCGCUAGCUUACGUGGAGGCAUUGGUGGGAUACUACCCUAAUUGUAUUGGAUUUCUAACCCGCAGCACUUAUCGUGCUGGGAGACAGUGUCAGGCGGGCAGUUUGACUGGGGCGGUCGCCUCCUAAAGAGUAACGGAGGCGCUCAAAGGUUCCCUCAGAAUGGUUGGAAAUCAUUCAUAGAGUGUAAAGGCAUAAGGGAGCUUGACUGCGAGACCUACAAGUCGAGCAGGGUCGAAAGACGGACUUAGUGAUCCGGUGGUUCCGCAUGGAAGGGCCAUCGCUCAACGGAUAAAAGCUACCCCGGGGAUAACAGGCUUAUCUCCCCCAAGAGUUCACAUCGACGGGGAGGUUUGGCACCUCGAUGUCGGCUCAUCGCAUCCUGGGGCUGUAGUCGGUCCCAAGGGUUGGGCUGUUCGCCCAUUAAAGCGGUACGCGAGCUGGGUUCAGAACGUCGUGAGACAGUUCGGUCCCUAUCCGUCGUGGGCGUAGGAAAUUUGAGAGGAGCUGUCCUUAGUACGAGAGGACCGGGAUGGACAUACCUCUGGUGUACCAGUUGUCGUGCCAACGGCAUA
This 1900-nucleotide ribosomal RNA is filed under the name Staphylococcus pseudintermedius. RNAcentral describes it as "partial 23S ribosomal RNA". It matches the Rfam family "Bacterial large subunit ribosomal RNA", at positions 837 to 2739 of the family's 2925-position model. The record is from RNAcentral. Lineage: Bacteria; Bacillati; Bacillota; Bacilli; Caryophanales; Staphylococcaceae.